RNAcentral lists this ribosomal RNA (1931 nucleotides) under sediment metagenome. RNAcentral describes it as "bacterial LSU rRNA". It matches the Rfam family "Bacterial large subunit ribosomal RNA", at positions 465 to 2406 of the family's 2925-position model. The record is from RNAcentral.
GCUAAAUACUCCUGAGAGACCGAUAGUGAACUAGUACCGUGAGGGAAAGGUGAAAAGCACCCUGAACAAGGGAGUGAAAUAGUACCUGAAACCAUGCGCUUACAAACGGUCGGAGCUUCGAUUUAUCGGAGUGACGGCGUGCCUUUUGCAUAAUGAGCCUACGAGUUACUCCUCACUAGCAAGAUUAAGGGCUUCAGGUCCGUAGUCGAAGCGAAAGCAAGUCUUAAUAGGGCGUCUAGUUAGUGGGGGUAGACGCGAAACUUGGUGAUCUACCCAUGGCCAGGUUGAAGCUCUGUUAACCCAGAGUGGAGGACCGAACCAGUACACGUUGAAAAGUGUUUGGAUGAGCUGUGGGUGGGGGUGAAAGGCCAAUCAAACUGAGAAAUAGCUCGUACUCCCCGAAAUGCAUUUAGGUGCAGCCUCGAGUAUAAGUGUCAUAGAGGUAGAGCUACUGAUAAGGCUAGAGGGCUUCACCGCCUAUCAACCCUUGAUAAACUCCGAAUGCUAUGACAUGUUCCUCGGGAGUGAGGCGUUGGGUGCUAAGGUCCAGCGCCGAGAGGGAAAGAACCCAGACCAUCAGCUAAGGUCCCCAAAUGUAUGCUAAGUUGUUCUAACGAAGUGUGAUUGCUUUGACAGCUAGGAUGUUGGCUUGGAAGCAGCCAUUCAUUUAAAGAGUGCGUAACAGCUCACUAGUCGAGCGAUCGUGCGUGGAUGAUAAUCGGGCAUAAGUAUACUACCGAAGCUAUGGAUUUGUAAUUUAUUAUAACUGGUAGGGGAGCAUUCUAAUUGCGUCGAAGCAGAGUCGUAAGGUUUUGUGGAGCGAUUAGAAAAGAAAAUGUAGGCAUAAGUAACGAUAAUGCAGGUGAGAAACCUGCACACCGAUAGACUAAGGUUUCCUGAUCAACGCUAAUCGGAUCAGGGUUAGUCGGGGCCUAAGGCGAACCCGAAAGGGGUAGUCGAUGGACAACAGGUCAAAAUUCCUGUACUAGCGUAUAUUGCGAUGGAGAGACGAAAAAGUGAAAGGACUGCGUACUGACGGAAUAGUACGUUGAAGGGUGUAGUUUUAUGGUUUUGUUAAUAGCUUAACUUUGAUGAACCUGAUAGUACCGUAAGUCUUCGGACGAGCGGAUAAUGUCCCUAAACCGGUUUCCAAGAAAAUCUUCUAAGCUUCAGAUAUAUGCUACCCGUACCGCAAACCGACACAGGUAGUCAAGGAGAGAAUCCUAAGGUGCUCGAGUGAAUCAUGGCUAAGGAACUCGGCAAAAUAGUCCUGUAACUUCGGGAGAAAGGACGCCCCGAGCAAUCGGGGCCGCAGUGAAUAGGCCCAGGCGACUGUUUAUCAAAAACACAGGGCUUUGCCAAAUCGAAAGAUGAUGUAUAAGGCCUGACACCUGCCCGGUGCUGGAAGGUUAAGAGGGGGAGUUAUUCUUUAGGGAAGAAGCUCUGAAUUGAAGCCCCAGUAAACGGCGGCCGUAACUAUAACGGUCCUAAGGUAGCGAAAUUCCUUGUCGGGUAAGUUCCGACCUGCACGAAUGGUGUAACGAUCUGGGCACUGUCUCAGCCAUGAGCUCGGUGAAAUUGUAGUUCCGGUGAAGAUGCCGGGUACCCGCAACGGGACGGAAAGACCCCGUGCACCUUUACUAUAGCUUAACAUUGAUUUUGGAUAAAUAAUGUGUAGGAUAGGUGGGAGAUUACGAAGCGGCUUCGCUAGGAGUCGUGGAGUCAACCUUGAAAUACCACCCUUUAUUUAUUUGGAGUCUAACUCUGGAAAGAGGACAGUGUUUGGUGGGUAGUUUGACUGGGGUGGUCGCCUCCAAAAGUGUAACGGAGGCUUCUAAAGGUACCCUCAGCAUGAUUGGUAACCAUGCGUAGAGUGCAAUGGCACAAGGGUGCUUGACUGUGAGACAGACAAGUCGAUCAGGUAGGAAACU